This 793-nucleotide ribosomal RNA is filed under the name uncultured bacterium. Its description in RNAcentral is "bacterial SSU rRNA". It matches the Rfam family "Bacterial small subunit ribosomal RNA", at positions 8 to 796 of the family's 1533-position model. The record is from RNAcentral.
AGAGUUUGAUCCUGGCUCAGGAUAAACGCUGGCGGCAUGCUUAACACAUGCAAGUCUAUUUGAAAGUAGCAAUACGAGUAGGAUGGCGAACGGGUGAGUAACACGUGAGUAACUUGCCCCUAAGGCUGGGAUAACUAUUCGAAAGGAUAGAUAAUACCGGAUAAGCUCACAAUACCGCAUGGUAAUGGGAGAAAAGCUAUAUGCACUUAGGGAGAGACUCGCGUCCCAUUAGCUAGUUGGUGAGGUAACGGCCCACCAAGGCGACGAUGGGUAGCCGGCCUGAGAGGGUGUACGGCCACAAGGGAACUGAGACACGGACCUUACUCCUAUGGGAGGCAGCAGUGGGGAAUAUUGUUCAAUGGACUAAAAGUCUGAAACAGCAAUGCCGCGUGUAUGAUGAAGGCUUUCGGGUCGUAAAGCUCUGUCGAGGGGAAAGAAGUGUACUUUGGCUAAUAUCCAUUGUACUUGACGGUACCCCUAAAGGAAGCACCGGCUAACUCCGUGCCAGCAGCCGCGGUAAUACGGGGGGUGCAAGCGUUGUUCGGAAUUAUUGGGCGUAAAGCGCGUGUAGGCGGUCUGAUUAGUCUGAUGUGAAAGCCCUGGGCUCAACCCAGGAAGUGCAUUGGAUACUGUCAGACUUGAAUACGGGAGAGGGUAGUGGAAUUCCUAGUGUAGGAGUGAAAUCCGUAGAUAUUAGGAGGAACACCGGUGGCGAAGGCGGCUACCUGGACCGAUAUUGACGCUGAGACGCGAAAGCGUGGGUAGCAAACAGGAUUAGAUACCCUGGUAGUCC